RNAcentral lists this ribosomal RNA (253 nucleotides) under uncultured bacterium. RNAcentral's name for it is "partial 16S ribosomal RNA". It matches the Rfam family "Bacterial small subunit ribosomal RNA", at positions 524 to 776 of the family's 1533-position model. The record is from RNAcentral.
UACAGAGGUCCCGAGCGUUGUUCGGAUUCAUUGGGCGUAAAGGGUGCGUAGGCGGCUUUCUAAGUUUGAUGUGAAAUCCUGGGGCUCAACCCUGGAACUGCAUUGAAUACUGGAGAGCUAGAGUACUGGAGAGGAAACUGGAAUUCACGGUGUAGCAGUGAAAUGCGUAGAGAUCGUGAGGAAGACCAGUGGCGAAGGCGAGUUUCUGGACAGUUACUGACGCUGAGGCACGAAGGCUAGGGGAGCAAACGGG